Molecule: transfer RNA, 72 nt
Filed under: Marmota marmota marmota (Alpine marmot)
Lineage: Eukaryota; Metazoa; Chordata; Mammalia; Rodentia; Sciuridae
Also listed under: 2 other names
Rfam family: tRNA
About the family: Transfer RNA (tRNA) molecules are approximately 80 nucleotides in length. Their secondary structure includes four short double-helical elements and three loops (D, anti-codon, and T loops).
Source: Rfam by way of RNAcentral
GGGGAUAUAUCUCAAGGGUAGAGCAUUUGACUGCAGAUCAAGAGGUUCCUGGUUCAAAUCCAGGUGUCCCCU